Molecule: ribosomal RNA, 440 nt
Filed under: uncultured bacterium
Lineage: Bacteria
Description: partial 16S ribosomal RNA
Rfam family: Bacterial small subunit ribosomal RNA
Source: RNAcentral
CCUACGGGUGGCAGCAGUGGGGAAUAUUGCACAAUGGGGGAAACCCUGAUGCAGCGACGCCGCGUGAGUGAAGAAGUAAUUCGUUAUGUAAAGCUCUAUCAGCAGGGAAGAAAAUGACGGUACCUGAGUAAGAAGCCCCGGCUAACUACGAGCCAGCAGCCGCGGGAAUACGUAGGGGGCAAGCGUUAUCCGGAUUGACUGGGUGGAAAGGGAGCGUAGACGGCAGUGCAAGUCUGGCGUGAAAGGCGGGGGCUCAACCCCCGGACUGCUCUGGAAACUGUACGGCUGGAGUGCAGGAGAGGUCAGUGGAUUUCCUAGUGUAGCGGUGAAAUGCGUAGCUAUUAGGAGGAACCCCAGUGGCGAAGGCGGCUUACUGGACUGUAACUGACGUUGAGGCACGAAGGCCAGGGGAGCGAACGGGAUUAGAUACCCUUGUAGUC